CACUAGGAAGCUAAAUAGGGAUUAGCAUUAGCCUUUUAAGCUAAAGAUUGGCGGCCCCCAAUCGCCUCUAGUGA
RNAcentral lists this transfer RNA (74 nucleotides) under Pylodictis olivaris. RNAcentral's name for it is "tRNA-Lys". It matches the Rfam family "tRNA". Rfam says of the family: Transfer RNA (tRNA) molecules are approximately 80 nucleotides in length. Lineage: Eukaryota; Metazoa; Chordata; Actinopteri; Siluriformes; Ictaluridae. The record is from RNAcentral.